Molecule: non-coding RNA, 703 nt
Organism: Castor canadensis (American beaver)
Lineage: Eukaryota; Metazoa; Chordata; Mammalia; Rodentia; Castoridae
Source: RefSeq, a predicted model, not a curated record
UUCCCUGAUCUGAGACUACUUUCGGAUCCAGCCCAAGAUGGUGGUCCAGGAGGGGAGAAAUCACCUACAGAGUCCAACAUGGGGAAAGCUAACGCUACCUGGGAUAAAUCCACCCUGGUGCAAUACGACUGGUGGUGCUGUUCUUUUCAAAUGAUCAGAGUCAACCUGCGGCACUGAGGCCUCCAUGGAGAUAUUUUUGCUGUCUUUUGCACAAAAGCAGCAGAUCCCAGACGGAGUCUCCUUGCAGGACUCUUGAGCUGUAUUUGUUGAAAAUGAGAAGUGGAACCAAGUCUUAAGUCCUGUUCUACUGCUUGACUAUUCAAUUCCAAGAUCAGAUCGGAUUUGCGGAAUUCCUCCUUACUGAAGCAUGGUCACUAUACUGAGCACUUGGCAAAGAUUAAAUCUGAGGAACAAACAUUUCCAGACCCAGUGAGAGGGCAGAACUGCUUCUCCACCCGACACUAACUGCUGAACCUGCACGCCGCCUAGUGCUCACUUCUUACAGGCAUCACGAAAUAACAUCCCUGCUCUACCCUACCAGGUAGGCACUGUGGUUGUCUCCAUUUUCUAGAUGAAACUGAGGCACAGAAAGUCGGAGUAACUUCCCUGUGUUCACACUGGUUGCCUGCAUCUGCUCUACAACUUGACCCAUGCUCCUAGACCUUUUUUGCUUUAGUUAUUUUUCAGGGUCUCACAUUUUUGC